CCUACGGGAGGCAGCAGUGAGGAAUAUUGGUCAAUGGCCGGAAGGCUGAACCAGCCAUGCCGCGUGAAGGUCAGUGCCCUAUGGGUUGUAAACUUCUUUUAUAAAGGAAUAAAACGAGGCACGUGUGCCUUUUUGCAUGUACUUUAUGAAUAAGGAUCGGCUAACUCCGUGCCAGCAACCGCGGUAAUACGGAGGAUCCGAGCGUUAUCCGGAUUUAUUGGGUUUAAAGGGAGCGUAGAUGGGUUGUUAAGUCAGUUGUGAAAGUUUGCGGCUCAACCGUAAAAUUGCAAUUGAUACUGGCAGUCUUGAGUACAGUUGAGGUAGGCGGAAUUCGUGGUGUAGCGGUGAAAUGCUUAGAUAUCACGAAGAACCCCGAUUGCGAAGGCAGCUUACUAAACUGUGACUGACAUUGAUGCUCGAAAGUGUGGGUAUCAAACAGGAUUAGAUACCCCAGUAGUC
RNAcentral lists this ribosomal RNA (459 nucleotides) under uncultured bacterium. RNAcentral's name for it is "partial 16S ribosomal RNA". It matches the Rfam family "Bacterial small subunit ribosomal RNA", at positions 338 to 795 of the family's 1533-position model. The record is from RNAcentral.